RNAcentral lists this long non-coding RNA (1158 nucleotides) under Equus caballus (horse). Its description in RNAcentral is "lncRNA (ENSECAG00000051630.1)". Lineage: Eukaryota; Metazoa; Chordata; Mammalia; Perissodactyla; Equidae. The record is from RNAcentral.
GCUGGGAAGGAGCUCUGUGACCUCCUCUCCAAUCCAAGAACUCCAGGUGAUGUGCUGAACAGGGCUGGAGCAAAUCCUCGGGCAGCUCAUUAUGGAUGUUUCUGCUAAAUGGACACCUCAUAGCAGCGCAAGACAUUUUCCUUUGCACUGCGUGGUUUCAUCAAGGGCAGCCAGUUUUCUUGUUUGGUCAGUAAAUCUCAGCUGUUGCCUUCUUCAAGACUCCUCUUCACACAUAAGAAGCACCUCCAAAAUCCAGCUGUGACCGAAGAUCAUCUAGAGAUAGUGACAAUGUUUUGAAAGUCCCAUCCUAGUCUCAUACCUAGAAUGGUAUCAAAUAAGACAGCAUGGGACAUGCGGAAGAGAAUUGGUGGAACUUGGACCAUGCAAGAGGAAAAGGGUCCCAGGCUAAAGCAGAAUAAAGACCUUUCCCAAAACACACUGGCCAGGCAGUGUGGAUUUCUUCACCAAGAAAUGAUGCAAGUCCAGCUACUGGGUCUAUCUGGUGAUGGAGACUGGACAAGCAGUGAGCCUUUCUCACCUCAGCAGAGCGGCACUGAGGUAGCAUGUACGAGAAGGAUGUGCAGCGUCUGACCCAAGGUCUACUCUAUAGUGAAGGUCCAGGAUCUUUUCACACAGAUGCCCUGGGACCCAUUCUAAACACAUACACGCCAUGUUGUUACAUUCCACAGCAACAGCUAAAGGUGAGUACUCUGCAAAGCAGACUCAACUGACUGCUUGACUCAAAGUCAAGAAGAGAAAUGAAAUCAUUUCCUUCCUUCUCUAGACUAAGCGAUUUCUUGGCCUAGAGAGUAAUAGUAACAGGAAACUCCUACGUUACAAAGAUGAUAUGCCCAAUUAAACAAGCCCUUCUCAGCUAAUGUGAGUCACUUAUAGCCAUUCUCUCUAUAUAUAUACAUCUCUUCUCUCACAUGCCUUUGGGCUAUUUGGUGACAAGCCACGUAGUCUGAUAAUAAUAAAGGAGGAAAGUGGCAGGAUUCCCUAUCCUUCAUAUAUUCAAGGGCCUUCUCUCUCCCAGUUUUUCUCUACAUCAAUUAGAAGUACUACAAGCCCUCAAAUUCUCCUUAUGAGUGAGUAACAGUCUUAAUCAUCACUGUCUCUUGAAUUUAUCACACAAUAUUGAUUUUUGUCAAGUCAUUA